This 253-nucleotide ribosomal RNA is filed under the name uncultured bacterium. RNAcentral describes it as "partial 16S ribosomal RNA". It matches the Rfam family "Bacterial small subunit ribosomal RNA", at positions 524 to 776 of the family's 1533-position model. The record is from RNAcentral.
UACAGAGGGUGCGAGCGUUGUCCGGAAUCACUGGGCGUAAAGGGCGCGUAGGCGGCUUUUCAAGCGUGCGGUGAAAGCUCGGGGCUUAACCCAGAAAGGUCAACUGAUACUGCGGGGCUAGAGUGCAGAAGGGGCAACUGGAAUUCUCGGUGUAGCGGUGAAAUGCGCAGAUAUCGGGAGGAACACCUGUGGCGAAGGCGACCCCCUGGUUGGAUACUGACGCUGAGACGCGAAAGCGUGGGGAGCAAACAGG